AUUGAACGCUGGCGGCAUGCCUAACACAUGCAAGUCGAACGGCAGCGCGGAGAGCUUGCUCUCUGGCGGCGAGUGGCGGACGGGUGAGUAAUGCAUAGGAAUCUGCCCAGUAGCGGGGGACAACCUGGGGAAACUCAGGCUAAUACCGCAUACGCCCUACGGGGGAAAGCGGGGGACCUUCGGGCCUCGCACUAUUGGAUGAGCCUAUGUCAGAUUAGCUUGUUGGUGGGGUAAAGGCCUACCAAGGCGACGAUCUGUAGCUGGUCUGAGAGGACGAUCAGCCACACUGGGACUGAGACACGGCCCAGACUCCUACGGGAGGCAGCAGUGGGGAAUAUUGCACAAUGGGCGAAAGCCUGAUGCAGCAAUGCCGCGUGUGUGAAGAAGGCCUGCGGGUUGUAAAG
Molecule: ribosomal RNA, 404 nt
Filed under: uncultured bacterium
Lineage: Bacteria
Description: bacterial SSU rRNA
Rfam family: Bacterial small subunit ribosomal RNA
Source: RNAcentral